RNAcentral lists this ribosomal RNA (454 nucleotides) under Dictyocaulus viviparus (bovine lungworm). RNAcentral describes it as "partial large subunit ribosomal RNA". The record is from RNAcentral. Lineage: Eukaryota; Metazoa; Nematoda; Chromadorea; Rhabditida; Metastrongylidae.
GGUUCGAGUAUGAAUGAAGUUUUGAUAAUUUUUUUUAUUAAUUUUAUAAUGAAUUUUUUUUGUAAAUAAAAAAUUUUGUUUUUAUUUUUGCAAAGAUAAGUCUUCGUAAAUUCUUUUUAAUUUUUUUUAAAAAAAAAAAAUUAAAGUUUUCUAGGGUAGAAUUUUUUGUAUGUAUAUUUUUUCUAUUAUUAGUUUAGAGAAUUACUUCGGAGUUAACAGAAAUUCAUAUUUUAUCUAGUUCUUAUAGUAAAGUAAGUUUUACAUCGGUGUUGUAUUUAUAUUGUUUGGAAGGUAGAAUGUUCAAUAUUUAAGACUGUUCUUCUUUUUAGUAUAACGUGAUAUUAGUUUAAUUCAUCGUGAGAUAGAAUUGUUUAUCUUGAAAAAUAAUUUUUUUUUUUUAGGUUUUUAGUACGAAAGGAAAAAUAGUUGAAGUUAAAAACUUUAUGAUGUACGG